UGUUAAAAAUUUCAUCCAUUUUUACGGUUAAAAACCAGUCACUGAACGUUAGAAUAACAAUACAGUUACACGUGGGUGUGCCAUGUGCAACCCAUUCUGAUGUACAGGGAUCAGUUUUUAAUUAGUAGAAAUGGAUAAAAUUUUUGCUC
Molecule: microRNA precursor, 149 nt
Filed under: Gossypium arboreum
Lineage: Eukaryota; Viridiplantae; Streptophyta; Magnoliopsida; Malvales; Malvaceae
Description: MIR7502 microRNA precursor family
Rfam family: MIR7502 microRNA precursor family
Source: Rfam by way of RNAcentral